This 23-nucleotide non-coding RNA is filed under the name Cricetulus griseus (Chinese hamster). The record is from RNAcentral. Lineage: Eukaryota; Metazoa; Chordata; Mammalia; Rodentia; Cricetidae.
AGUUAGUCCUGAUACACCAGCCC